This 464-nucleotide ribosomal RNA is filed under the name uncultured Geobacteraceae bacterium. RNAcentral's name for it is "partial 16S ribosomal RNA". It matches the Rfam family "Bacterial small subunit ribosomal RNA", at positions 338 to 794 of the family's 1533-position model. Lineage: Bacteria; Pseudomonadati; Thermodesulfobacteriota; Desulfuromonadia; Geobacterales; Geobacteraceae. The record is from RNAcentral.
CCUACGGGAGGCAGCAGUGGGGAAUUUUGCGCAAUGGGGGCAACCCUGACGCAGCAACGCCGCGUGAGUGAUGAAGGCCUUCGGGUCGUAAAGCUCUGUCAGAGGGGAAGAAAUGCAGGUGGUGAACAACCAUUCUGUUUGACGGUACCCUCAAGGGAAGCACCGGCUAACUCCGUGCCAGCAGCCGCGGUAAUACGGAGGGUGCGAGCGUUGUUCGGAAUUAUUGGGCGUAAAGCGCGUGUAGGCGGUUUGUUAAGUUGGAGGUGAAAGCCCCGGGCUCAACCUGGGAAGUGCAUUGGAUACUGGCAGACUUGAGUACGGGAGAGGAGAGCGGAAUUCCCAGUGUAGGAGUGAAAUCCGUAGAUAUUGGGAGGAACACCGGUGGCGAAGGCGGCUCUCGGGACCGAUACUGACGCUGAGACGGGAAAGCGUGGGGAGCAAACAGGAUUAGAUCCCCCAGUAGU